Phragmites australis (common reed) is the source of this 1503-nucleotide long non-coding RNA. RefSeq lists it as uncharacterized. The record is from RefSeq and is a predicted model, not a curated record. The transcript has 3 exons. Lineage: Eukaryota; Viridiplantae; Streptophyta; Magnoliopsida; Poales; Poaceae.
CUGAGGAGGCCAAUGGUGAUGGCGAAGUACGUCUUCCUAGCGACAUAUGCGUGUCGUAUACAGGGGAGGACACGAACCUCGAUAAACUGAUAGAUAACAUUUUUCCAAUGCUUGAUGAUAAUAUGUCGGAUCCAAACUACAUCACCUCGAGAGCCAUCUUGUCCACACGGAAUGAUUGUGUGGACCAAAUUAAUAUGAAGAUGAUCGGUCGCUUCCGAGGGGAGGAGGUGGUAUAUCAUAGCUUUGAUCAUGCAGAAGACGAUCCCCAUAACUACUACCCCCUGAGUUUCUUAACUCGCUGACACCGAACGGGCUACCUCCACACGUUCUAAAGCUCAAGAUGAACUGUCCUAUCAUAUUACUUAGGAACAUUGACCCCGCGAACGGACUUUGCAAUGGGACGAGGCUGGUGGUCCGGGGGUUCCAGAGAAAUGCAAUAGAUGCAGAGAUUGUGCUGGGGCAGCAUGCUGGAAAGAGGGUUUUUCUGCCUCGGAUCCCCCUGUGCCCCUCUGAUGAUGAGAUGUUCCCUUUCCAGUUUAAGAGGAAGCAGUUUCCUAUCAGGCUCAGCUUCGCCAUGACAGUCAACAAGGCACAAGGGCAAACCAUCCCCAAUGUCGGCAUUUACCUGCCCGAGCCGGUGUUCUCUCACGGUCAAUUAUAUGUCGCGCUAUCUAGAGCCACCGCCAGAGCGAACAUCAGGAUCCUCGUCGUCCCAGCUGAUGACAAAAAAAAGAAGUGCUCAAAGCAAAGUGGGACAUACACGAAGAACAUCGUCUAUAGAGAGGUCCUUACGGCAUAGAGAAACAUUCAUUCAUACAUUUAUGCUCCAAAUUGCGGUUUUGUCUAAUCACUUGAAUAGGAGGGACAUUCAUAUCCGACAGGUCAAGAUAUAUGGCCCACGCCCAACCCUGUUCCCCACCAACCAUUUCAUUUUACUUAAAGGGAAUUCAUAAUAUAUACUCCACUGUUAGAUGACAGUUGAUGGACAUACUCCAUUGCCUGCUCAAGACUAAUGAAAGCUUAGGAAUCAGAGUUCAGGUUCCCAGUGGGAACCCUGAUUGUGCUUCAUUCCUCCCAUAAUGGCCAUGCAGAAUUCAACAUUGAAGAUUUGAAGUAUCUAUUGGAGCACCAUUUGGCUCCUUGAAACAGCAAACAGAGAAUUGUUUGCUGAUUUGUCUGCCCGUACGAUUGUACAAUUUGUACCCAUGUAAUCUAACAUGACCCACCUCCAUGUGCGAGAGAGGUCCUCUGGGAGAGCAUCGUCCGCAUAAAUCUCUUGCCUCUUAUUUUUUACCAUGUACCUGGUUCAUUUGAUACAGUUUAUUUAUGAUAGUUAUCUUUUUUAGAGGAGUUUAUGAUAGUUAUCUUUUUCCAUGUACCUGGUUCAUUUGAUACAAUUUAUGUACUUGGUUCAAUUCGUUUUCAUCUCAUUUCGUGCUCCAUCAAUGGUAUCCUCGAGUCACGUGUUCUCGAAGCCGAUUCGCAUUCCCUGUAAACACUCUG